GGUUAAGCGACUAAGCGUACACGGUGGAUGCCCUGGCAGUCAGAGGCGAUGAAGGGCGUGCUAAUCUGCGAUAAGCGACGGUAAGCCGAUAUGAGGCGCUAUACCCGUCGAUACCCGAAUGGGGAAACCCAAUGCACUACGGUGCAUUAUCGUUAAGUGAAUACAUAGCUUAACGAGGCGAACCUGGGGAACUGAAACAUCUAAGUACCCAGAGGAAAAGAAAUCAACCGAGAUUCCCCCAGUAGCGGCGAGCGAACGGGGAACAGCCCAGAACCUGAAUCAGUUUGUGCAUUAGUGGAAGCGUCUGGAAAGUCGCAGGGUACAGGGUGAUACUCCCGUACACAAAAAUGCACUUGCUGUGAGUUCGAUGAGUAGGGCGGGACACGUGACAUCCUGUCUGAAUAUGGGGGGACCAUCCUCCAAGGCUAAAUACUCCUGACUGACCGAUAGUGAACCAGUACCGUGAGGGAAAGGCGAAAAGAACCCCGGCGAGGGGAGUGAAACAGAACCUGAAACCGUGUACGUACAAGCAGUGGAAGCCUCUUAAAUGUGGGGUGACUGCGUACCUUUUGUAUAAUGGGUCAGCGACUUAUAUUCUGUAGCAAGGUUAACCGUAUAGGGGAGCCGCAGGGAAACCGAGUCUUAACUGGGCGUUAAGUUGCAGGGUAUAGACCCGAAACCCGGUGAUCUAGCCAUGGGCAGGUUGAAGGUUGGGUAACACUAACUGGAGGACCGAACCGACUAAUGUUGAAAAAUUAGCGGAUGACUUGUGGCUGGGGGUGAAAGGCCAAUCAAACCGGGAGAUAGCUGGUUCUCCCCGAAAGCUAUUUAGGUAGCGCCUCGUGAAUUCAUCUCCGGGGGUAGAGCACUGUUUCGGCUAGGGGGCCAUCCCGGCUUACCAACCCGAUGCAAACUGCGAAUACCGGAGAAUGUUAUCACGGGAGACACACGGCGGGUGCUAACGUCCGUCGUGAAGAGGGAAACAACCCAGACCGCCAGCUAAGGUCCCAAAGUCAUGGUUAAGUGGGAAACGAUGUGGGAAGGCACAGACAGCCAGGAUGUUGGCUUAGAAGCAGCCAUCAUUUAAAGAAAGCGUAAUAGCUCACUGGUCGAGUCGGCCUGCGCGGAAGAUGUAACGGGGCUAAACCAUGCACCGAAGCUGCGGCAGCG
Molecule: ribosomal RNA, 1170 nt
Filed under: Winslowiella arboricola
Lineage: Bacteria; Pseudomonadati; Pseudomonadota; Gammaproteobacteria; Enterobacterales; Erwiniaceae
Description: partial 23S ribosomal RNA
Rfam family: Bacterial large subunit ribosomal RNA
Source: RNAcentral